RNAcentral lists this ribosomal RNA (932 nucleotides) under Aureonarius caryotis. Its description in RNAcentral is "Cortinarius caryotis partial large subunit ribosomal RNA". It matches the Rfam family "Eukaryotic large subunit ribosomal RNA", at positions 39 to 954 of the family's 3401-position model. The record is from RNAcentral. Lineage: Eukaryota; Fungi; Basidiomycota; Agaricomycetes; Agaricales; Cortinariaceae.
CAUAUCAAUAAGCGGAGGAAAAAGAAACUAACAAGGAUUCCCCUAGUAACUGCGAGUGAAGCGGGAAAAGCUCAAAUUUAAAAUCUGGCGGUCUUUGGCUGUCCGAGUUGUAAUCUAGAGAAGUGUUAUCCGCGUUGGACCGUGUACAAGUCUCCUGGAAUGGAGCGUCAUAGAGGGUGAGAAUCCCGUCUUUGACACGGACUGCCAGGGCUUUGUGAUGCGCUCUCAAAGAGUCGAGUUGUUUGGGAAUGCAGCUCAAAAUGGGUGGUAAAUUCCAUCUAAAGCUAAAUAUUGGCGAGAGACCGAUAGCGAACAAGUACCGUGAGGGAAAGAUGAAAAGAACUUUGGAAAGAGAGUUAAACAGUACGUGAAAUUGCUGAAAGGGAAACGCUUGAAGUCAGUCGCGUUGACCAGGGAUCAACCUUGCUUUUGCUUGGUGCACUUUCUGGUUAACGGGUCAGCAUCAAUUUUGACCAUUGGAAAAAGGUCAGGGGAAUGUGGCAUCUUCAGAUGUGUUUAUAGCCCUUGGUUGCAUACAAUGGUUGGGAUUGAGGAACUCAGCACGCCGAAAGGCCGGGUUUUUAAACCACGUACGUGCUUAGGAUGCUGGCAUAAUGGCUUUAAUCGACCCGUCUUGAAACACGGACCAAGGAGUCUAACAUGCCUGCGAGUGUUUGGGUGGAAAACCCGAGCGCGCAAUGAAAGUGAAAGUUGAGAUCCCUGUCGUGGGGAGCAUCGACGCCCGGACCAGACCUUUUGUGACGGUUCCGCGGUAGAGCAUGUAUGUUGGGACCCGAAAGAUGGUGAACUAUGCCUGAAUAGGGUGAAGCCAGAGGAAACUCUGGUGGAGGCUCGUAGCGAUUCUGACGUGCAAAUCGAUCGUCAAAUUUGGGUAUAGGGGCGAAAGACUAAUCGAACCAUCUAGUAGCUGG